UCAUUAUAAACUAGAAGCAGUUGAGCGUGUUAUGAAGUAUUGCCUAUGUUGGCAGUACAGAAAAAGUUGCGAUUGACAAGGCGUAUGGUAGAUUUCUAAGUGAAGAUUUAAUUGCGACUUAUGAUAUUACGUUCUUUGAUCGUUCUUCAUCACAUUUAGAGAAAGCCUUCAAUAGUUUCCCAAACUUAGUAAAUCGUUUUUUAAAAUAAGCCUGAUAAAUGAAAUAGUAAGCAG
This 234-nucleotide non-coding RNA is filed under the name Bacillus methanolicus MGA3. The record is from RNAcentral. Lineage: Bacteria; Bacillati; Bacillota; Bacilli; Caryophanales; Bacillaceae.